Molecule: ribosomal RNA, 438 nt
Filed under: Mesalina guttulata
Lineage: Eukaryota; Metazoa; Chordata; Lepidosauria; Squamata; Lacertidae
Description: partial 16S ribosomal RNA
Rfam family: Bacterial large subunit ribosomal RNA
Source: RNAcentral
AGCCUGCCCAGUGACCCGUUUAAACGGCCGCGGUAUCCUAACCGUGCAAAGGUAGCAUAAUCACUUGUCCCCUAAAUAGGGACUAGCAUGAACGGCUAAAUGAGGAUUACACUGUCUCUUGUAGUUGACCAAUGAAACUGAUCUUGUAGUCCAAAAGCUACAAUAAAAACACCAGACGAGAAGACCCUGUGGAGCUUCAAACCAGAACCAAAUUAAUGACCUCCCGGUUUUUAGUUGGGGAAACUUCGGAGUAUACACCAACCUCCGACAAACUAGUUAAGACAAACAAGCCUAAACAAUUUACUUGACCCAAUAGUUAUUAUGAACUACUUGACCAAUGAACCAAGUUACCCCAGGGAUAACAGCGCUAUCCCCUUUUAGAGUCCCUAUCGACAAGGGGGCUUACGACCUCGAUGUUGGAUCAGGACACCCCAAUAA